UACGGAGGGUGCGAGCGUUGUUCGGAAUCACUGGGCGUAAAGGGCGUGUAGGCGGUCCGCUAAGUCUGAUGUGAAAGCCCGGGGCUCACCCCCGGAAGGGCAUUGGAAACUGACGGGCUCGAGUCCCGAAGAGGAGGGUGGAAUUCCUGGUGUAGCGGUGAAAUGCGUAGAUAUCAGGAGGAACACCGGUGGCGAAGGCGGCCCUCUGGACGGUGACUGACGCUGAGACGCGAAAGCGUGGGGAGCAAACAGG
RNAcentral lists this ribosomal RNA (253 nucleotides) under uncultured bacterium. Its description in RNAcentral is "partial 16S ribosomal RNA". It matches the Rfam family "Bacterial small subunit ribosomal RNA", at positions 524 to 776 of the family's 1533-position model. The record is from RNAcentral.